GAUCAUGGCUCAGGAUGAACGCUAGCUACAGGCUUAACACAUGCAAGUCGGAGGGGCAGGCAUGGUCUUAGCUUGCUAAGGCCGAUGGCGACCGGCGCACGGGUGAGUAACGCGUAUCCAACCUGGCCUUACACUCUUGGACAGCCUUCUGAAACGGGAGAUUAAUACAAGAUGUUAUCAUGAGUAAAGCAUUUUCGCAUGGAUUAAAGGUUUACCGGUGUAAGAUGGGGAUGCG
This 235-nucleotide ribosomal RNA is filed under the name uncultured bacterium. RNAcentral describes it as "partial 16S ribosomal RNA". It matches the Rfam family "Bacterial small subunit ribosomal RNA", at positions 15 to 235 of the family's 1533-position model. The record is from RNAcentral.